UAGUCCACGCCGUAAACGAUGAUCACUCGUUGUUGGCAAUACACCGUCAGCGACUAAGCGAAAGUGAUAAGUGAUCCACCUGGGGAGUACGUUCGCAAGAAUGAAACUCAAAGGAAUUGACGGGGGCCCGCACAAGCGGUGGAGCAUGUGGUUUAAUUCGAUGAUACGCGAGGAACCUUACCUGGGCUUGAACGUAUGAUGCUUAUAUUGGAAACGAUAUAUUCCUUCGGGACAUUAUGCGAGGUGCUGCAUGGUUGUCGUCAGUUCGUGCCGUGAGGUGUCGGGUUAAGUCCCGCAACGAGCGCAACCCUUGUCUUUAGUUGCCAUCAUUAAGUUGGGCACUUUAAAGAGACUGCCGGUGACAAACCGGAGGAAGGUAAGGAUGACGUCAAGUCAGCAUGCCCCUUAUGCUCUGGGCUACACACGUGCUACAAUGGCCGUGACAAAGAGUUGCUACUUUGUGAAAACAAGCUAAUCUCAUAAACGCGGCCUCAGUUCGGAUUG
RNAcentral lists this ribosomal RNA (504 nucleotides) under uncultured bacterium. Its description in RNAcentral is "bacterial SSU rRNA". It matches the Rfam family "Bacterial small subunit ribosomal RNA", at positions 791 to 1300 of the family's 1533-position model. The record is from RNAcentral.